This 169-nucleotide ribosomal RNA is filed under the name Bathylagoides wesethi. Its description in RNAcentral is "partial small subunit ribosomal RNA". The record is from RNAcentral. Lineage: Eukaryota; Metazoa; Chordata; Actinopteri; Argentiniformes; Bathylagidae.
CACCGCGGUUAUACGAGAGGCCCAAGUUGAUAAUCACCGGCGUAAAGAGUGGUUAUGGAAGAAUUACACUAAAGCCGAACACCCUCUAGGCUGUCAUACGCACCUGAGGCUACGAAGCUCUCCCACGAAAGUGGCUUUAUACCUCCCUGAAUCCACGACAGCUAUGAUA